RNAcentral lists this long non-coding RNA (1252 nucleotides) under Populus trichocarpa (black cottonwood). RNAcentral's name for it is "long non-coding RNA (PTRI_LNC000844)". The record is from RNAcentral. Lineage: Eukaryota; Viridiplantae; Streptophyta; Magnoliopsida; Malpighiales; Salicaceae.
AGAUACAUCUUAACCCACUAAAAAAAAUCUAAAUGAGAUUUCUCAAAUUAAAACAGAGAGAUUUCCUCUACAAUAAUAAAGAACAAAGAAAAGAAACCGCUGCCUGUCAAAAAGAUAUCACAUAGCCUCCUCCGAGUAGAAACGUCAUUGAACGCCCACAGUUCAAAUAUGAUCAAGAACCUCUUGAUUUAUUCUUUGGGCUACAUGCACACAACACAGAAAUCAGUGGAACUCGAAAUCCAAAAGCGAUUACUCGAUGCAUGCUGCAGAGAUCGAGCGUAAUUCUAGAGAUUAUAUUAUAAAAAAUAUAUUGUGGACCCAGAAUUGAAAAUGACUUCAAAUUUUGGACAGGCAUGGAAGGACUUGCCCUUCAACGAUAUCGUGCUCCUUGUUUGCUUAUUCGAACAAAAACCUCGCAGAAAUCUCAAGAAAAUGCACGAUGUAGCUCUCCCUCUGCGGAAAAUGCAAGAUCAAGAACCAGCUUUAUCUAAAAUCACAAGAGCCAAUACAAUAAUGGGAAGGAUGGCCUAGGUAAAAUACGGUUAACUGAUAGCAAAUCUUAUGCAAUGUAUUAUAUAAAUCUCCAUUUUUAUAUUUAACUUACCCACUGUAAAAAUUAUUGAGCAUGAAUAAUAACUACAUAAACAUGUAAUUUUUUUUUUUUUGUUAAUGCUCAAUAUUAUACUGAUCAUAGAUAAUUGAAGUGAGGAGUGAAAGCCUCGUCUCUUAAGAGGGGACAUUAUCCCAAGCUUAUGACCCAGACUUAAAAUGAAUAGGGAUCCUAGAUAAAAUUAUAAAUGAAACCUUUUAAAAUAUAAUUUUUAAGAAAUAUAUUUUAAUUUAUUAUUCUUCAUGUAUGUCUAAUAAUAAAAAGAACAAUUUUCAUUUCAUAAAAUAUAAUUGAAAAAUAAACCUUAUUUAUUCUUGUAGUUUUUUAUUAAAUGGGGUCCUUGGCCAUUGUCCAAGUUGCCCAAUAUGCUCUAGCUCACUAAACACUUAGACCAAGCAUGCAAGAUCUUCAGCAAGUGUUUGGUUUUCGCAAGUUAGAACGAACGAGGUGCACGAGAGGCAAUACGAGCGUACCUCCUGGCUCAUUUAGUCUUUGAAAAAGCGUAGUCAUAAGCCUGCGUUUCUCUUGUUCUAUCUACAAAUAAUCCAUCAAGAUUUAAAUAACGCCAUGCGAAAUCGAUCAAAUGAACAAGAUUUCCGAAAUCUCUCGCUCGAUGUCUUUCUACCGUGAAUACAGUAGCUA